GAUGAACGCUGGCGGCGUGCUUAACACAUGCAAGUCGAACGGAAAGGCCCUGCUUGCCGGGUACUCGAGUGGCGAACGGGUGAGUAACACGUGGGUGAUCUGCCCUGUACUUUGGGAUAAGCCUGGGAAACUGGGUCUAAUACCGAAUAUGACAAUUGUUUGGAUGCGAUUGUGGAAAGCUUUUGCGGUAUGGGAUGAGCUCGCGGCCUAUCAGCUUGUUGGUGGGGUAAUGGCCUACCAAGGCGUCGACGGGUAGCCGGCCUGAGAGGGUGUACGGCCACAUUGGGACUGAGAUACGGCCCAGACUCCUACGGGAGGCAGCAGGGGGGAAUAUUGCACAAUGGGCGCAAGCCUGAUGCAGCGACGCCGCGUGGGGGAUGACGGCCUUCGGGUUGUGUACUCCUUUCGCAACCGACGAAGCCUUUUGGUGACGGUAGGUUGAGAAGAAGCACCGGCUAACUACGUG
This 466-nucleotide ribosomal RNA is filed under the name uncultured bacterium. Its description in RNAcentral is "partial 16S ribosomal RNA". It matches the Rfam family "Bacterial small subunit ribosomal RNA", at positions 28 to 507 of the family's 1533-position model. The record is from RNAcentral.